Molecule: transfer RNA, 90 nt
Filed under: Saccharomyces cerevisiae (brewer's yeast)
Lineage: Eukaryota; Fungi; Ascomycota; Saccharomycetes; Saccharomycetales; Saccharomycetaceae
Rfam family: tRNA
About the family: Transfer RNA (tRNA) molecules are approximately 80 nucleotides in length. Their secondary structure includes four short double-helical elements and three loops (D, anti-codon, and T loops).
Source: RNAcentral
GGCAACUUGGCUGAGUGUUGGUGCGGGUCGAGAUUGAUGGUAGAAGUCUUUUGGGCUUUGCCCGCGCAGGUUCGAGUCCUGCAGUUGUCG